RNAcentral lists this ribosomal RNA (253 nucleotides) under uncultured bacterium. RNAcentral's name for it is "partial 16S ribosomal RNA". It matches the Rfam family "Bacterial small subunit ribosomal RNA", at positions 524 to 776 of the family's 1533-position model. The record is from RNAcentral.
UACGUAGGUGGCAAGCGUUAUCCGGAUUUAUUGGGCGUAAAGGGAGCGUAGGCGGACUUUUAAGUGAGAUGUGAAAUACUCGGGCUCAACUUGAGUGCUGCAUUUCAAACUGGAAGUCUAGAGUGCAGGAGAAGAGAAUGGAAUUCCUAGUGUAGCGGUGAAAUGCGUAGAGAUUAGGAAGAACACCAGUGGCGAAGGCGAUUCUCUGGACUGUAACUGACGCUGAGGCUCGAAAGCGUGGGGAGCAAACAGG